GAUGAAGAACGUAGCGAAAUGCGAUACGUAAUGUGAAUUGCAGAAUUCAGUGAAUCAUCGAAUCUUUGAACGCAUAUUGCGCUCUCUGGUAUUCCGGAGAGCAUGCUUGUUUGAGUAUCAGUAAACACCUCAACUUCCAUAUCUUUUUUGAAAUGGGAGUUGGACUUGAGUGAUCCCAACGCUUUUCCUCACCGAAAAGUGGCGGGUUACUUGAAAUGCAGGUGCAGCUGGACUUUUCUCUGAGCUAUAAGCAUAUCUAUUUAGUCUGCCUAAAAAACAGAUUAUUACCUUUGCUGCAGCUAACAUAAAGGAGAUUAGUUCUUGUGCUGACUGAUGCAGGAUUCACAAAGACAGGCUUCGGCCGACUUUGUAAACUCGAUCUCAAAUCAAGUAGGACUACCCGCUGAACUUAAGCAUAUCAAUAAGCGGAGGA
This 433-nucleotide unclassified non-coding RNA is filed under the name soil metagenome. RNAcentral describes it as "partial contains 5.8S ribosomal RNA, internal transcribed spacer 2, and large subunit ribosomal RNA". The stretch from base 1 to 120 matches the Rfam family "5.8S ribosomal RNA", at positions 35 to 154 of the family's 154-position model. The record is from RNAcentral.